ACGAACGCUGGCGGCGUGCCUAAUACAUGCAAGUAGAACGCUGAAGGAGGAGCUUGCUUCUCUGGAUGAGUUGCGAACGGGUGAGUAACGCGUAGGUAACCUGCCUGGUAGCGGGGGAUAACUAUUGGAAACGAUAGCUAAUACCGCAUAAUAUUGACUAUUGCAUGAUAGUCAGUUGAAAGGUGCAACUGCACCACUACCAGAUGGACCUGCGUUGUAUUAGCUAGUUGGUGGGGUAACGGCUCACCAAGGCGACGAUACAUAGCCGACCUGAGAGGGUGAUCGGCCACACUGGGACUGAGACACGGCCCAGACUCCUACGGGAGGCAGCAGUAGGGAAUCUUCGGCAAUAGACGGAAGUCUGACCGAGCAACGCCGCGUGAGUGAAGAAGGUUUUCGGAUCGUAAAGCUCUGUUGUAAGAGAAGAACGAGUGUGAGAGUGGAAAGCUCACACUGUGACGGUAUCUUACCAGAAAGGGACGGCUAACUACGUG
RNAcentral lists this ribosomal RNA (494 nucleotides) under uncultured bacterium. Its description in RNAcentral is "partial 16S ribosomal RNA". It matches the Rfam family "Bacterial small subunit ribosomal RNA", at positions 29 to 507 of the family's 1533-position model. The record is from RNAcentral.